This 668-nucleotide long non-coding RNA is filed under the name Theobroma cacao (cacao). RNAcentral describes it as "long non-coding RNA (TCAC_LNC002156)". Lineage: Eukaryota; Viridiplantae; Streptophyta; Magnoliopsida; Malvales; Malvaceae. The record is from RNAcentral.
GAAGUUAACAAACAGGAUGCUGCAGAGAUGAAAGAAUAAUGCACCACUAAAUAGACUCCUGCCAUUUGAGGUAUCAUGUUGGCCAUUUAGUUAAAUAUAUAUAUAUAAGACAUGUUUCAUAUAUUGACCCUACAUAACGUUGCCAGCAAAAACAAUUAAUUUGGAGUUAGCACAGCAUAUGCAACAACUGCAUAUGUGAUGCUUGCAUUGUUCAGGCUGAGAGGUGAACCAGAAGGUCCUAUAGCGGUUGUGUAUUACUGUCAUUUCUUUCUCCCAUCAUCAUCGUAUUCCCCAGAGCUAGUGGCUUAUCUAUUCACGGUAUAAUUGAUUUGGAUACCAAACAAAAGUAUAUUAUAUAUGAUCAGCAAAAACACUAAAUUUGGAGUUAGGACAGCAUAAGCAACAACUGCAUAUGUGAUGCUUGCAUUGUUCAGGCUGAGAGGCGGAUCAGGUCCUAUAGUGUUUGUGCACAACUGUCAUUUCUUGCUCCCAUCAUCAUCCUAAUCCCCAGAGCUAGUGGCUUAUCUAUUCACAUUAUAAUUGAUUUGGAUACCAAGCAACAGCAUAUUAUAUAUGAAUUUUUUUAGACAAAAUUUUCAUUUCGACACUUCAUUCCAACCUAGGACAUCUUUGUAAUUCAAACAACUAGAACAACCUUUACAUAAUCA